Molecule: ribosomal RNA, 1875 nt
Filed under: Triticum aestivum (bread wheat)
Lineage: Eukaryota; Viridiplantae; Streptophyta; Magnoliopsida; Poales; Poaceae
Description: partial small subunit ribosomal RNA
Source: RNAcentral
AUGAGAAAGCCCCACAAGCUUCUGCCCAACUACCUUCUCCUCUACCGACGCACCAGACCCUACACCUCAACCGCGGCCAACCCCGUCGCGGCCGCCUCCGCCGUCCUCCGUGACCUCGAUCUCCUGGACGCCGGCGAGCUCGCCCCGACCCCGCGCGUUUACCGCUCGUUCAUAACCGCCUGUGCGCAAUCCAAGAACCUCGAGGAUGCCAGGAAGAUCCACGCGCACCUGGGCAGCUCCCGGUUCGCCGGCGACGCCUUCCUCGACAACUCGCUCAUCCACAUGUACUGCAAGUGCCGCAGCGUGCUGGACGCGCGGAAUGUGUUCGACCAAAUGCGGAGGAAAGACAUGGUCUCCUGGACCUCGCUCAUUGCCGGGUACGCGCAGAACGACAUGCCGGUGGAGGCCAUCGGGCUGCUCCCUGGCAUGCUGAAGGGGCGGUUCAAGCCAAACGGGUUCACGUUCGCCAGCCUCCUCAAGGCUGCCGGCGCUUAUGCUGACAGCGGCACCGGGAGGCAGAUCCAUGCUCUCGCUGUGAAGUGUGGUUGGCAUGAGGACGUCUAUGUUGGGAGCGCGCUUCUCGACAUGUAUGCGCGGUGUGGGAAGAUGGACAUGGCCACCGCAGUGUUUGACAAACUUGACUCGAAGAAUGGGGUUUCCUGGAACGCAUUGAUCUCCGGGUUUGCAAGGAAGGGUGAUGGAGAGUCUGCUCUGAUGACCUUUGCAGAGAUGCUGAGAAAUGGGUUUGAAGCGACACAUUUUACAUACUCCAGUGUCUUCAGUUCUAUCGCUCGUUUAGGUGCUCUUGAGCAGGGGAAGUGGGUGCAUGCACAUGUGAUUAAAUCUCGGCAGAAACUGACUGCAUUUGUUGGAAAUACAUUGCUUGACAUGUAUGCAAAAUCAGGGAGCAUGAUCGACGCGAGAAAGGUGUUUGACCGUGUGGAUAAUAAGGAUCUAGUUACUUGGAACUCAAUGCUCACAGCAUUUGCACAAUAUGGGCUCGGGAAGGAAGCAGUUUCCCAUUUUGAGGAGAUGAGGAAGUCUGGCGUUUACCUGAAUCAGAUCACCUUCCUUUGCAUUUUGACUGCCUGUAGCCAUGGAGGACUGGUGAAGGAGGGCAAGCGCUACUUUGAAAUGAUGAAGGAGUACGAUUUAGAACCAGAGAUUGAUCAUUAUGUUACGGUUGUUGCUCUUCUCGGCCGAGCUGGUUUACUAAAUUAUGCUCUGGUCUUUAUAUUUAAAAUGCCCAUGGAGCCAACUGCUGCAGUUUGGGGAGCCUUGCUUGCGGCUUGCAGAAUGCAUAAGAAUGCUAAAGUAGGGCAAUUUGCAGCUGAUCAUGUAUUUGAACUUGACCCAGAUGAUAGUGGUCCACCUGUCUUGCUGUAUAACAUAUAUGCUUCCACAGGCCAAUGGGAUGCUGCAGCCAGAGUGAGGAUGAUGAUGAAGACAACUGGUGUGAAGAAGGAACCUGCAUGCAGUUGGGUUGAGAUGGAGAAUUCUGUGCACAUGUUUGUGGCAAAUGAUGAUACCCAUCCACAAGCGGAAGAGAUAUAUAAGAUGUGGGGUGAGAUAAGCAAGAAGAUUAGGAAAGAAGGAUAUGUUCCUGAUAUGGAUUAUGUGCUUCUGCAUGUAGAUGAUCAAGAGAAGGAGGCAAACCUACAGUACCACAGCGAGAAGCUUGCGCUUGCAUUUGCACUGAUCGAAAUGCCUGCAGGGGCAACAAUUCGUAUCAUGAAAAAUAUUAGGAUAUGUGGGGAUUGCCACUCUGCAUUCAAAUACAUCUCCAAAGUUUUUGGAAGGGAGAUUGUUGUGAGGGACACAAAUAGAUUUCAUCAUUUCAGUAGUGGAUCUUGUUCCUGUGGAGAUUACUGGUGA